This 506-nucleotide ribosomal RNA is filed under the name uncultured bacterium. RNAcentral describes it as "partial 16S ribosomal RNA". It matches the Rfam family "Bacterial small subunit ribosomal RNA", at positions 29 to 523 of the family's 1533-position model. The record is from RNAcentral.
AGUGAACGCUGGCGGUAGGCCUAACACAUGCAAGUCGAACGGCAGCACAGGAGAGCUUGCUCUCUGGGUGGCGAGUGGCGGACGGGUGGGGAAUACAUCGGAAUCUACUCUGUCGUGGGGGAUAACGUAGGGAAACUUACGCUAAUACCGCACACGACCUACGGGUGAAAGCAGGGGAUCUUCGGACCUUGCGCGAUUGAAUGAGCCGAUGUCGGAUUAGCUAGUUGGCGGGGUAAAGGCCCACCAAGGCGACGAUCCGUAGCUGGUCUGAGAGGAUGAUCAGCCACACUGGAACUGAGACACGGUCCAGACUCCUACGGGAGGCAGCAGUGGGGAAUAUUGGACAAUGGGCGCAAGCCUGAUCCAGCCAUACCGCGUGGGUGAAGAAGGCCUUCGGGUUGUAAAGCCCUUUUGUUGGGAAAGAAAUCCAGCUGGCUAAUACCCGGUUGGGAUGACGGUACCCAAAGAAUAAGCACCGGCUAACUUCGUGCCAGCCGCCGCCGUAA